RNAcentral lists this unclassified non-coding RNA (316 nucleotides) under Hevea brasiliensis (rubber tree). Lineage: Eukaryota; Viridiplantae; Streptophyta; Magnoliopsida; Malpighiales; Euphorbiaceae. The record is from RNAcentral.
GCUGCCAAGUGUUUCAUGGUCCAAAUUUAAGCAAUUGCAAUAAUUGAAUAGAUAUUUAUUUCCCCACCGCCAUUCAUUGGGAGUUUGUACGCGUGCGAAGGACAAAGGUGAUUUUGCAGUUUGUAGCGAUGCACAACCAAACGCUCGGAGCACUCUUGUUUGCUCUGGAAGCUCUGGUAAAUUUUGGAGUCUUUUGCAGCUGUUUAAACUCAAUAAUCUUAGAGAUGAUAAAGAAACAAUGUCACUGGGGAUUUCUGAAACUGCAGUGCCAUCUAGAUAUAAAUCUGUUAAAGAGCACAAACCAUAUAAAGGAGGC